Etheostoma cragini (Arkansas darter) is the source of this 181-nucleotide long non-coding RNA. RefSeq lists it as uncharacterized. The record is from RefSeq and is a predicted model, not a curated record. Lineage: Eukaryota; Metazoa; Chordata; Actinopteri; Perciformes; Percidae. The transcript has 4 exons.
CAUUUCUACUACGAUUGUUCAACCAUACAAACACUUUAGUGUUCUCCACUGCUGGAAAAAUGAAAAACCCAAUCUUGGUUCCUUUGAUCCUUCUGCUGGGGAUCCCGCUAACAGAGAGUAUUGAUGAAACUGCUGUAUUUCCAAUUUGGAGACAUCAUUGCAUUUGAGAGAAUGUGUGUUA